UACGGAGGGUGCGAGCGUUGUCCGGAAUCAUUGGGCGUAAAGGGCGCGUAGGUGGCCCGGUCAGUUCGUGGUGAAAGCGCGGGGCUCAACCCUGCGUCGGCCAUGAAUACUGCCGCGGCUGGAGCACUGUAGAGGCAGGCGGAAUUCCGGGUGUAGCGGUGGAAUGCGUAGAGAUCCGGAAGAACACCGGUGGCGAAGGCGGCCUGCUGGGGCAGU
Molecule: ribosomal RNA, 216 nt
Filed under: uncultured bacterium
Lineage: Bacteria
Description: partial 16S ribosomal RNA
Rfam family: Bacterial small subunit ribosomal RNA
Source: RNAcentral